CCCCUAGAUGUUCUGGGCCGCACGCGCGCUACACUGAACAGUUCAACAAGUCUUAACCUUGGCCGAUAGGUCUGGGUAAUCUUUGAACGCUGUUCGUGAUUGGGAUAGACCUUUGCAAUUAUGGGUCUUCAACGAGGAAUUCCUAGUAAACGCAAGUCAUCAGCUUGCAUUGAUUACGUCCCUGCCCUUUGUAAACACCGCCCGUCGCACCUACCGAUUGAAUGGUCCGGUGAAAUCUCGGGACGGCGGCUUGGUCGCUUGCGUCCGACUGCUGAAACUUGAUUAAACCAUAUCAUUUAGAGGAAGGUGAAGUCGUAACA
RNAcentral lists this ribosomal RNA (320 nucleotides) under uncultured eukaryote. RNAcentral describes it as "partial 18S ribosomal RNA". It matches the Rfam family "Eukaryotic small subunit ribosomal RNA", at positions 1470 to 1796 of the family's 1831-position model. The record is from RNAcentral.